Molecule: non-coding RNA, 45 nt
Organism: Schistosoma curassoni
Lineage: Eukaryota; Metazoa; Platyhelminthes; Trematoda; Strigeidida; Schistosomatidae
Source: Rfam
AUCCAACUGUCGAGUCACCAAUAGGAUGAAACGCGCGUCCUGGAU